AUUGAACGCUGGCGGCAUGCCUUACACAUGCAAGUCGAACGGCAGCACGGGAGCAAUCCUGGUGGCGAGUGGCGAACGGGUGAGUAAUAUAUCGGAACGUGCCCAGUCGUGGGGGAUAACGCAGCGAAAGCUGUGCUAAUACCGCAUACGAUCUAAGGAUGAAAGCGGGGGAUCGCAAGACCUCGCGCGAUUGGAGCGGCCGAUAUCAGAUUAGCUAGUUGGUGGGGUAAAGGCCCACCAAGGCGACGAUCUGUAGCUGGUCUGAGAGGACGAGCCGCCAGACUGAAACUGAUACACGGUCCAUGCUCCUACGGUAAGCAGCAGUGGGGAAGUUUGAAAAAUGGGGGAAACCGUGAUCCAGCGAUGCCGCGUGUGUGAAGUAGGCCUUCGGGUUGUAAAGCACUUUUGUUCGGGAAGAAACGUGGCGGGCUAAUACCCUGGCGGGAUGACGGUACCGGAAGAAUAAGCACCGGCUAACUACGUGCCAGCCGCCGCCGUAA
RNAcentral lists this ribosomal RNA (500 nucleotides) under uncultured bacterium. RNAcentral's name for it is "partial 16S ribosomal RNA". It matches the Rfam family "Bacterial small subunit ribosomal RNA", at positions 29 to 523 of the family's 1533-position model. The record is from RNAcentral.